GGUAGUGCGGUUGAAUUAAUCGCGAGCAGCCUCGGUAUGUCUGUGCCAACGGCUUGCACGCGAUUCAGUGACAACUACGACCUGAAGGAGGAACUCGGCAAAGGUGCCUUCUCCGUGGUUCGACGAUGUGUGCAAAAAAGCACCGGUCACGAGUUUGCUGCAAAAAUUAUAAACACCAAAAAACUCUCAAAUAGAGAUUUCCAAAAACUCGAGCGUGAGGCGCGGAUAUGUAGAAAACUACAACAUCCAAAUAUUGUGAGAUUACAUGACAGUAUACAAGAGGAGAAUUUCCAUUAUCUUGUCUUUGAUCUAGUCACCGGCGGAGAACUGUUCGAGGACAUCGUCGCCCGGGAAUUCUACAGCGAGGCGGACGCCUCGCACUGUAUUCAACAAAUCCUGGAAAGCGUUCACCACUGCCACCAUAACGGAGUUGUGCACCGGGAUCUGAAACCCGAAAAUUUACUCCUCGCGAGCAAGGCGAAAGGGGCGGCUGUGAAAUUAGCAGAUUUUGGUCUAGCGAUCGAGGUGCAGGGUGAAGCGCAGGCAUGGUAUGGUUUCGCUGGAACGCCCGGCUACCUCAGCCCGGAGGUGCUGAAGAAGGAGCCAUACGGAAAACCAGUCGACAUAUGGGCGUGCGGUGUCAUACUGUACAUCCUUCUGGUCGGUUAUCCACCCUUUUGGGACGAGGAUCAGCAUCGGCUCUAUGGACAGAUCAAGGCCGGAUCGUACGAUUAUCCGAGUCCAGAAUGGGACACCGUCACGCCGGAAGCCAAGAACCUUAUCAAUCAGAUGCUGACGGUGAAUCCAGGAAAGAGGAUCACUGCCAGCGAGGCACUGAAGCAUCCAUGGAUCUGCCAACGUGAGCGUGUUGCAUCCGUGGUGCAUAGACAAGAGACCGUGGAUUGCUUGAAGAAAUUCAAUGCAAGGCGCAAGUUAAAGGGCGCUAUAUUGACGACCAUGCUGGCGACGCGGAACUUUUCCAGUAAGUAUGAUGCACAGGGUCGAAGCAUUAUCACGAAGAAGGGUGAUGGCUCUCAAGUGAAGGAAUCCACCGACAGCAGCACAACGAUCGAAGACGAUGAUGUUAAAGAGGAUAAGAAGGGCGGCGUCGACCGGAGCAGCACGGUCAUUGCCAAAGAACCCGAAGGUACACCUCCGAGCAGCCCCGCGACAAUGUCCGCGUUCUCCAGGAUGGUCGGCGCGGCCACAACCAUGGCGAACAAACAGGCCCCGAAUCAGAACCAGACCCAGAUUCAGGCCCAGGUCCAAGCCCAGAUUCAGAAUACGGGCAACCCCCUCGGAAUUGCCGCGGUUCUUCUUCAAGGGGCCCAAGGUAAAUUCAGGAUUUUAAUUCGAUGUUGAAAUGAAAUGCAGGGUAAACUGGGUCUUCAUGUCUUACUUUUUAAUUCUUUGCGGCUCUACACUGUCAAGGAAUUUUUUUUAAUUAUAUUCUCGAGAUAAAAAUUUAGGACGAUUGUGUGUUUAAACUUUAUGAAUAAUAGUAUUUAUGGAAUGUAAAUUAUUUUUGAAGCCUAUGAAUUUAAAGACAAAUCUCUCGAUAUCUUUGAAUCUCACUCUCUCUAUGCUUAUAGAUUUCAAAGUUAGUGAAAUUAUUCUUAAAUGCACCAAAAGAAAAGUAUAGCGGUAGAGAAGAAUCGUUUGGUGAUAAGUAAAUAACCUUUUAUUUAGCCACGAAAAUGAAUUCAUCUAGUUUUUAUUACGAUUGCUAUUGAUUACGUCAGAUGAAGGUAAUGAAUGUGAAUUGAAGAAAAGUAAAACAUGGGAUUGCAACGAUAUUUUUCUUAAAAGUAUCGAAUAUUUGCCAUUGUCCUUGAAAUAUAUUUAUUCGAAAUGUUUUGCAACAGAAAUGUGUUUCGGAGAGGUUAUCGCGAAUUCCGAUCUUCCGGAUGUGAAACUUUUAAAAAUUUAUUAUUUUUUUCAUCUCAAUAUGAGAAAUUCUUCUCCUGUUAUAUAAAUCGUAUGCUUUUUGAAUUUAAUCUUUCAAUCUCACGUGUGAAAUAAUGAACUGUGAGAAUGGUGUGCUUGAAGAGGUGACAAUUAAGUUUGUUGAAAUGCAAAUAAGCUUUAAUCGAAUUAAAUUUGCUUUACAUUUUAUAAUAGAAUUUUAUAAUUGAAUUUAUCAAAUCAUGAUUAGAAUAAGAUACAGUCACGAUAGCUUUUGUUAACAUCUCUUUAUUCAAGAAUUAUUUCACCGCACCAAACUUUUGUCAACCGACAUUUUGCAGAAUUUUUCAAUGAUCUAUGUUUAUACUCGAUAUCAAAGCAUCACCUGCCGCAUUGUGAUCUGAAUGAAAAUAGAGAAAAAAAUCAGAGAAUAAAUAUAAUCAGAGAAUAAUAUAAGUUUUAUCUCAGAAUUGUAGAUUAAAAAAAGCAUUAAUAUGGAUGUAUUAAUUACAAAUCGUAUAACAUCAUAUAAAUUGAAAGUGUGAUAGGUAUCAAUUGCUGCUUGCUCGAAUUGUUUAAUUUUUCAAAUCAUGGAAGCAUAUCUUCACGAAGUCAUUCUACAGAACAAUUGUCACUUGAUGUCGUAGUCUCUCUCCCUCCCCUCCCCCUCCCCUCUUUCUUCCUACCAUUCCUCUCUUUCUUCCUACCAUUCCUCUCUUUCUUCCUACCAUUCCUCUCUUCUUCUUUCUUUCUCUCUUUCUCUCGUGUCGCAGGAUGAGAAAUAGGCACGUACACUGGAAGGAGAUGCUAAAGCGCAACUAACAGCAGUCUGAUCGACGAAUCGCUGGCAGCGCAGGAAGCGGUAGCAGCAGCGGUAGCAGCAACAACAGCCAGAACAGCCAAGUCGGCGCGUCACCAUCGU
This 2827-nucleotide unclassified non-coding RNA is filed under the name Acromyrmex echinatior (Panamanian leafcutter ant). Its description in RNAcentral is "calcium/calmodulin-dependent protein kinase type II alpha chain, transcript variant X1". Lineage: Eukaryota; Metazoa; Arthropoda; Insecta; Hymenoptera; Formicidae. The record is from RNAcentral.